UUUAAUAUGGCAGAUAAGUGCAAUGAAUUUAAACUUCAUAUAUAAAAAUAUUACUUUUUUAUUAAAA
Molecule: transfer RNA, 67 nt
Filed under: Linepithema micans
Lineage: Eukaryota; Metazoa; Arthropoda; Insecta; Hymenoptera; Formicidae
Also listed under: 1 other name
Description: tRNA-Leu
Source: RNAcentral